UACGGGGGGGGCAAGCGUUGUUCGGAAUUACUGGGCGUAAAGGGCGCGUAGGCGGUUUGCUAAGUUGGAUGUGAAAACUCUGGGCUUAACCCAGAGCCUGCAUUCAAAACUGACAGGCUAGAGUUCUGGAGGGGAUAGCGGAAUUCCUGGUGUAGCGGUGAAAUGCGUAGAUAUCAGGAGGAACACCGGUGGCGAAGGCGGCUAUCUGGACAGAAACUGACGCUGAGGCGCGAAAGCUAGGGGAGCAAAC
This 250-nucleotide ribosomal RNA is filed under the name uncultured bacterium. RNAcentral describes it as "partial 16S ribosomal RNA". It matches the Rfam family "Bacterial small subunit ribosomal RNA", at positions 524 to 773 of the family's 1533-position model. The record is from RNAcentral.